Non-coding RNA from Pelobates cultripes (western spadefoot toad), 168 nucleotides. NCBI's taxonomy places the organism in Eukaryota, Metazoa, Chordata, Amphibia, Anura, Pelobatidae. The record is from the annotation of a GenBank genome assembly.
CAGCAGACACAUUCCAGCCAAUCAGCAGCAGACCCUCCCAGACCCUCCCACCUCCUGGACAGCAUCCAUUUUACAUUCAUUGUGAAGCUGCAUUCUUAGUGAGCUGUCCAGGAGGUGGGAGGGUCUGGGAGGGAGGGUCUGCUGCUGAUUGGCUGGAAUGUGGCUGCU